RNAcentral lists this ribosomal RNA (248 nucleotides) under uncultured bacterium. Its description in RNAcentral is "partial 16S ribosomal RNA". It matches the Rfam family "Bacterial small subunit ribosomal RNA", at positions 1254 to 1500 of the family's 1533-position model. The record is from RNAcentral.
AUAGUGAUAUGGAGCAAAACCCUAAAAAGACGGUCUCAGUUCGGAUUGAAGGCUGAAAUUCGCCUUCAUGAAGCUGGAAUUGCUAGUAAUGGCAGGUCAGCAUACUGCCGUGAAUACGUUCCCGGGCCUUGUACACACCGCCCGUCACACCAUGAGAGUUGGAAAUACCCGAAGCCUGUGAGCUAACUGUAAAGAGGCAGCAGUCGAAGGUAGAGCCAAUGAUUGGGGUGAAGUCGUAACAAGGUACC